UUCGCAAUGCCCGAAAGGGUGACGAGGCGACGCCGCGUGCGGGAAGAAGGCCUUCGGGUUGUAAACCGCUGUCGGGAGUUAAGAAAUGUAAGGAUGUUAAUAGCAUCUUUGCUUGACUAAGGCUCCGGAGGAAGCCACGGCUAACUCUGUGCCAGCAGCCGCGGUAAUACAGAGGCGGCAAGCGUUGUUCGGAAUUAUUGGGCGUAAAGAGCACGUAGGCGGCUAUGUAAGUCUGUUGUGAAAGCCUUCCGCUCAACGGGAGAACAGCAUCCGAUACUGCAUGGCUUGAGUGCGGGAGGGGAGAGUGGAACUUCUGGUGGAGCGGUGAAAUGCGUAGAUAUCAGAAGGAACGCCGGCGGCGAAAGCGGCUCUCUGGCCCAUAACUGACGCUGAGUGUGCGAAAGCUAGGGGAGCAAACGGGAUUAGAUACCCCGGUAGUCCUAGCCGUAAACGAUGGGCACUAAGUAGAGGGGUUUU
This 477-nucleotide ribosomal RNA is filed under the name uncultured bacterium. Its description in RNAcentral is "bacterial SSU rRNA". It matches the Rfam family "Bacterial small subunit ribosomal RNA", at positions 365 to 832 of the family's 1533-position model. The record is from RNAcentral.